ACCAAGUGUAUUUUAACAUAACUAAAUGUUUAAACUUUAGAUCUUUAUUUUAAACUUUACCAUUAUUUUAAGAAGUUUUUGCUAGGGUAAAUGUUUUCCAUAAGUUUUUUUUUUUUUUUUUUUCUUUUAUAUAUCGGAUAAAGGGAUUACAUUUGUUCUCUGAGUUUUUAUAGAAGCCCCAUCGCUAUCACCAUCACUAUUUUGAUUUUUCCAAGAUGGCCGUUUUUGUUUCGCGAACGUUCUGCGAGGAGAGUUCGGCGACUUGCGUGACUUACGAACAGAACUGCCUAAUUGUGCCGCUUGUGCCUGGACAAUGGAAGAUGAUGCAAAGGCCAAAAGAAAGCUACUCUGCAUCUGCACUCUGAAUAAUGUGAUGUCUCGGUAGCUACACAUGCUUUGUUAAAGGGAAGUUUAUUUCGCCACUUGCUAGGCAUCAUUGAGGUGAUUUGGCUGUGUGCCUUUAUUUUAUGCUAAUAGAAUGUACUGCACUUACAACUGCUUGUUGUAGGUGCAGCCUACAACAAUCGGUUGCAAAGGAGCACCGUUUAGUGAAUCCAUUCGAUUAACAUAAGCAAGUCUGGAAGAUGCUAAAGACUAGAGCAUGAUGCACUGAGGCAUGUUGACCUAUGCUUGAGCACCCACUCUCCUCUCUUGGGCUGUAAACCAGGCAAAAUGUAAAAUUAUUCUUGCGAAAACAGCAGGGAUGUGGCAUGCAUAAAAACUUGUCGAUCAUGCUCUGAAUAUGCUGGCCGCCCAAGCGAGCGACUCACUGACUGACUGGCUCGGCUUUGCCAUCAGCCAAGGCAGGACAAGCAAAUGCUAGAGCAAGCAGUCAAGUUCGGUGAAUUUUGUUUUUCUAAAAACAAAUUUGCUAAAAGGAGAUUCGUUGCCAUUUCCUCUAAACGGAGUGUCUUCUUGAAAGAAUUCAAUAAAAAAGGGGGUUUCAAAACUUGUGCUUGGAAAAAUAGAUGCCUCUGCUCGGGCCGUACACAUCAACUUUCUUAGAUCUGUCGGUUGACAAACUCCAUAGAAGAGCAGCAGUAAAAAAAAAAAAAAAAAAAAAAUGAGACGUUUACAAUUCUUUGUAACAUGAAAUUAGAGCGCAGCGCUUGAGUAGGAGGAGGGGAGGUUAUGCCUCUCCUAUCCCUCCAUACCCUCUCCUCCCCCUCCCAUUUAGCAGGCAAUUUUCGCUAAAUUUCCUGCUAAAUUUAGCAAGAAUUUCCCCGCUAAAUUUAGCGGUUUAAGUUUCCUCUCUAAAUCUUGUGGGGAAAUUGAUGUCACACAACCUCAACACCAAUUCAGUUUCCCCGCUAUAUUUAGCGGGGAAACUGAAUUGGCGUUGAGGAAACAACCCUGCUAAAUGGCACAUGACUUCAUGCCACGUCACUCACAAACAAAUUCAGUUCCUCAGCUAGAUUUAGCAGAAAAAUUGACAUUGCGUGACCUCAACACAAAUUCAAUUUCUCACUAAAUUCAGCAAGGUGAUCAUGCAGACGGCGACGCAAUGAAGCGUGGAAAUGGGCACCUAAGAGCUGCACUCUAAACCAGUUUUUCUCUGUUGCCGGUGCACAAGCAGGUAAGGGCGGAUAGCAUUCCUAGUGCCAAUUCCCUUGCGGUCAACGAAAAACGCUUUUUGAACAACGCUCUUUCUGUUUUAAGUAUUGUGCAGGCCUUAAGUUUACUAUAAGAACAACAACAACAACAACAACAAAAAAAAAAAUCACUUUCCACUGCAGGUAAUGUGCAUCCAACAUUCCACUGGAUCUGUCCAAAGGGCAGGCUGAUACUGCGGCAGACGCCACUGAGCGGACACACUGCAAAAAGGCGUCGGGCGUUUUCCGAAGUUUGUCAACUGACCUAGAUCUGAGAACGUUGGUACAUGUAUUGCUACCGUUGCCAAGCAGGACUGGAGAUUGUUAGAGUGUGAACAAGGUUCACACUUUGGUCAAUGCAAGCACAUCUUUUUUUUUUAGUAAUAUUGACUAACAAGAUUGCAGCAAUCAAACAAGUUAACACCGAAAUGUUAAAAGCAAUAAAGAAAUUAAAGCCCG
Ixodes scapularis (black-legged tick) is the source of this 2051-nucleotide long non-coding RNA. RefSeq lists it as uncharacterized. Lineage: Eukaryota; Metazoa; Arthropoda; Arachnida; Ixodida; Ixodidae. The record is from RefSeq and is a predicted model, not a curated record. The transcript is spliced from 2 exons.